Molecule: unclassified non-coding RNA, 1072 nt
Filed under: Hevea brasiliensis (rubber tree)
Lineage: Eukaryota; Viridiplantae; Streptophyta; Magnoliopsida; Malpighiales; Euphorbiaceae
Source: RNAcentral
GUGAAAGACACAUGCACAGAGGCAGAAAUCGUUCAAGAAAGCCUGUGGAACUUGCUUCAACUACCACAUCGACUACUGCUACUACUACUGUAAUAAACCCUUCACCAUCAAUCAACAGAAACCUCUCCACCACUUCACCGUUUGCUUCCUCUUACUCCUUGUCUCCUCUUUCUUCGCCUACGGAACCUGAAUUCCACGUCUAUCAAAAUCCUAGCCACAGCAGCAUCCUUAAUCCCUUCCUUUACCCUCAUUCUUCAUCUUCUGGAACUCCUGGUUCUGGUUUUUCCCCUCAAAAUAGUACUACCCACAACCUGUUUUUGGACUCUGGCUCUUCUUCUCAUGCUGAAAAUGAUUACAGGUAUUUUCAUGGAAUGAGGGAGGGUGUAGAUGAGAGAGCUUUCUUCCCAGAAGCUUCCGGUAGUGCAAGAAGCUUACAAGAUUCAUAUCAGCAAUUGGCAAUGAGUUCCUAUAAAGGCUAUUCCCAUUUACAGUUUGAUAGCUUAGCUGAUACGUCAAAACAGCAACAGGAAGAUCAGCAGCAGCAUUGCUUCGUUUUGGGUACUGAUUUUAAGUCAUCAGCCACACGGCCAAUCAAGUUAGAGAAAGAAGGCGAAACCCAGAAACCAUUGCACCAUUUUUUUGGUGAGUGGCCACCAAAGAGCGCAGACUCUUGGCUGGAUCUUGCACCCAGUUCAAGACUGCACACAGCAGAUAGUUGAAAACUCAAUAAUGGAUCUGCAUAUUGAGGCCAAAAGAGUACUACAUGGUGGUGGGUCAAUAUGCGUUGCUUUAGAAGUUGAAAUUGUGGCUAGGGUACCCCCAUUUUUUUUGUGGGAUUAAUAAUAUUGUAGGAACUAGAGAUACAGGAGGGUUCCUGUCUUUUGCCUUCUAGAACAUUAAAUUUAUCUCUUCCCUUGAAAGAAACAUGUUCGCGAUUUGUAGACUCUGCUUAUUUGACAUGCUUUUGGCUCCGUGAUAAUGCAGAAGUUAGUAAGUUGUUUUGUUUUGAUGACAUCUAGUUAUCCUUUCAAGUCCAUGCAUAUGGGGACCCAACAACCAACCAAUAUGUGCA